Molecule: long non-coding RNA, 167 nt
Organism: Myotis lucifugus (little brown bat)
Lineage: Eukaryota; Metazoa; Chordata; Mammalia; Chiroptera; Vespertilionidae
Exons: 4
Source: RefSeq, a predicted model, not a curated record
AUUUUGGUUUUUGCAGGAAUUAUCUAGAUAAGACAGAUGCUGUAAAGGCUCCAAAAUAUAGACAGAAUGGCAAGUUGCUGGUGGUUGCUCCAAAGGAAAAAGUGAUGAUUGAACCAAAUGAAACAAUGUCAGAAGAGAGUGGAAGAGAGGGGGAGAGACAGAGAGAG